GAUGAAGAACGUAGCGAAAUGCGAUACAUAAUGUGAAUUGCAGAAUUCAGUGAAUCAUCGAAUCUUUGAACGCAUAUUGCGCUCUCUGGUAUUCCGGAGAGCAUGCUUGUUUGAGUAUCAGUAAACACCUCAACUCCCUUUUCUUUUUUGAAAUUGGAGCUGGACUUGAGUGAUCCCAACGCUUUCUUCCAAGAAAGUGGCGGGUUGCUUGAAAUGCAGGUGCAGCUGAACUUUUCUCUGAGCUAUAAGCAUAUCUAUUUAGUCUGCCUAAAAAACAGAUUAUUACCUUUGCUGCAGCUAACAUAAAGGAGACUAGUUCUUGUGCUGACUGAUGCAGGAUUCACAGAGACAGCUUCGGCUGACUUUGUAAACUCGAUCUCAAAUCAAGUAAGACUACCCGCUGAACUUAAGCAUAUCAAUAAGCGGAGGA
This 430-nucleotide unclassified non-coding RNA is filed under the name soil metagenome. RNAcentral's name for it is "partial contains 5.8S ribosomal RNA, internal transcribed spacer 2, and large subunit ribosomal RNA". The stretch from base 1 to 120 matches the Rfam family "5.8S ribosomal RNA", at positions 35 to 154 of the family's 154-position model. The record is from RNAcentral.